UGGCGGGGCAACGGCCCACCAAGCCGACGAUCAGUAGGGGUUCUGAGAGGAAGGUCCCCCACAUUGGAACUGAGACACGGUCCAAACUCCUACGGGAGGCAGCAGUGAGGAAUAUUGGUCAAUGGGCGGGAGCCUGAACCAGCCAAGUAGCGUGCAGGAUGACGGCCCUAUGGGUUGUAAACUGCUUUUGCGCGGGGAUAAAGUGCGCCACGUGUGGCUCAUUGCAGGUACCGCGCGAAUAAGGACCGGCUAAUUCCGUGCCAGCAGCCGCGGUAAUACGGAAGGUCCGGGCGUUAUCCGGAUUCAUUGGGUUUAAAGGGAGCGCAGGCCGCCCCUUAAGCGUGUUGUGAAAUGCCGCGGCUCAACCGUGGCACUGCAGCGCGAACUGGGGGGCUUGAGUGCGCGCAGCGCAGGCGGAACUCGUGGUGUAGCGGUGAAAUGCUUA
This 445-nucleotide ribosomal RNA is filed under the name uncultured bacterium. Its description in RNAcentral is "bacterial SSU rRNA". It matches the Rfam family "Bacterial small subunit ribosomal RNA", at positions 250 to 692 of the family's 1533-position model. The record is from RNAcentral.